RNAcentral lists this ribosomal RNA (494 nucleotides) under uncultured bacterium. Its description in RNAcentral is "partial 16S ribosomal RNA". It matches the Rfam family "Bacterial small subunit ribosomal RNA", at positions 28 to 507 of the family's 1533-position model. The record is from RNAcentral.
GACGAACGCUGGCGGCGUGCUUAACACAUGCAAGUCGAACGGUGAAGCGCCUUCCUUUUUGGUGGGUGUGGAUGAGUGGCGAACGGGUGAGUAACACGUGAGUAACCUGCCCCCUUCUUCUGGAUAACCGCAUGAAAGUGUGGCUAAUACGGGAUAUUCUGGGUCUGUCGCAUGAUGGGUCUGGGAAAGAUAUUGUUUCGGUGGGGGAUGGUCUCGCGGCUUAUCAGCUUGUUGGUGUGGUGAUGGCCUACCAAGGCGGUGACGGGUAGCCGGCCUGAGAGGGUGGGCGGUAACACUGGGACGGCGACACGGAGACGACUACGAGGGGCGGCAGCAGUGGGUAUUAGUGCACGAGGGGCGCAAGGCUGAUGCAGCGCCGCGUCGGGAGGGAUGGAGGCCUGCUGGUUGUGAACCUCUUUCGCGAGUGAAGCAGGCCUGCCUCGUGUGUGGGUGUUUUGACGGUAGCUGGAGAAGAAGCGCCGGCUAACUACGUG